RNAcentral lists this ribosomal RNA (292 nucleotides) under uncultured bacterium. RNAcentral's name for it is "partial 16S ribosomal RNA". It matches the Rfam family "Bacterial small subunit ribosomal RNA", at positions 505 to 796 of the family's 1533-position model. The record is from RNAcentral.
GUGUCAGCAGCCGCGGUAAAACGUAGGAGGCGAGCGUUAUCCGGAUUUACUGGGUGUAAAGCGCGUGCAGGCGGCUUGGUAAGUGGUGUGUGAAAGCGCCCGGCUUAACCGGGCGAGGCCGCACCAGACUGCGAAGCUGGAGGGAGGUAGAGGCGUGUGGAAUUCCGGGUGUAGUGGUGAAAUGCGUAGAGAUCCGGAGGAACACCAGAGGCGAAGGCGACACGCUGGGCCAACCCUGACGCUAAGACGCGAAAGCAUGGGGAGCGAACGGGAUUAGAAACCCUGGUAGUCC